Molecule: ribosomal RNA, 372 nt
Filed under: uncultured eukaryote
Lineage: Eukaryota
Description: partial 18S ribosomal RNA
Rfam family: Eukaryotic small subunit ribosomal RNA
Source: RNAcentral
CAAUAGCGUAUAUUAAAGUUGUUGCAGUUAAAAAGCUCGUAGUUGGAUUUCUGGGAGGGUGCCGCCGUCCGGCGUGUCCGUGUGCAGUGGCGCCCUUCCAUCCUUCUGUUAGCGUCUCUUGGCAUUCAUUUGCUGGUGGCGGGCUCAGAUAUUUUACCUUGAGAAAAUUAGAGUGUUUCAGGCAGGCUAGGCCGGAAUACAUUAGCAUGGAAUAAUGGAAUAGGACUACGGUCUCUUUGUUGGUUUGAGGGACUGCAGUAAUGAUUAAUAGGGAUAGUUGGGGGCAUUAGUAUUUAAUUGUCAGAGGUGGAAUUCUCAGAUUUGUUAAAGACUAACUUAUGCGAAAGCAUUUGCCUAGGAUGUUUUCAUUAA